UCUUCAUCAUGGGCAAGUGAAUGGUUCACCGGUUCAAUUUACCAUCAACAAAUGGCAACUCAAUCAUCAAGUCAAUCAUUGCAGUCAGUUUCACUCUCAUCUCCCUUAUAACUUGUCGAUCCAUGUUGCUCUUCAAAAGGGAUUGCGGGUGCUCUGACCGUGGUCGCUAGAAGAUGGAAAGAAAGAUUAUAGUAGGAGCAAGGAGUACAAUUGAUACCGGAACAACUUUGACAUUCCUUCUUGCAGAAGCAUUUGAACCUUUUCUCAAUGCUGUUGAGAAGAAGAAUGUGAAGAAGGCUCAGGUUUUGUAUGAUGCGAUUGAUGGGAGUGGCGGGUUUUAUCGGUCGCUGGUUGAGAAGUCGGUUAGGUCGUUGAUGAAUGUGCCGUUUACGCUUGAGAGGGCCGAGUGACUUCAUCACCCAAUAGGUAUGGAUAAUUAUUGUUUAUUAGUUAUUACUCAGUUUUGUUUGAUUUUGUUAUUUGGUGUUAAAUUUUUAUGCUUGAAAAAGUUUAUAGAUUAUAUGCUAAAUUGGUUGUUGUAAGCCUUGUUAAAUUUUGACAUAAAACAUCACAGACAAAUAUUAUUUGAUAUUUUAACUUGAGAAACCAUAGAACUAUAGAUGUAUUUCUAGCAGGUAAUAUAGGUUCAUGGAAUCUGCAUCUUUCCUUGGUGAUGUCAUCUAUUAGUUUAGGAUUUUUGUUUUUUUCCUUGGUAACAUCUUAAAGUUAUUGGAGUGGAUGAUGAUGACCCAAAAACAAAUCUGCGAAAGGAUCGUAGUGAAAAAAGCUAUCAAGCCUACAUGGCCCCAAGGAAGACGGAUUCUUAUGGGGGCAGAAAAAAAUGAGAAACCUUAUGCACCAGCAGCCAUGGAAAAGAAAGAAGCCUCACUUUGGCAUAAGGCCCAGUGCCUUCUUUAUUUUAUGUUGAUUGUGUUUUUUUACGGACGACAUGGGUACACAUUUCAUUAAACUACUCUAUAAACCUUCACUUAAGUUAGUUUCAAUAUGUCAUUCAUGUAUGUGGACUACUAUACUUCAUGAACUGUAUCAAAUGUCUUAGAUCAUAUGUCCUAAAAAUAAUACGCCUUGUUUUCCAAACAUUUUUUUGUGCUAGAAUGUAUAUACAACGUAGCAUGCUAUUAUUUAACCGCCCCGUGUAUCCAUUAAAAACACUUAUCAUUUAAGGUUCUGAGUUUUUUCCCAGACCUCGUAUUAUCGAC
Molecule: long non-coding RNA, 1220 nt
Filed under: Helianthus annuus (common sunflower)
Lineage: Eukaryota; Viridiplantae; Streptophyta; Magnoliopsida; Asterales; Asteraceae
Source: RNAcentral